GAAGUAUCAUGCAGGCACUCUGACAGCCAUGCCGCGUGCAGGAAGACGGCCCUAUGGGUUGUAAACUGCUUUUGUACGGGAGAAAACCCUUUCACGUGUGGGAGGUUGAUAGUACCGUAAGAAUAAGCAUCGGCUAACUUCGUGCCAGCAGCCGCGGUAAGACGAAGGAUGCAAGCGUUAUCCGGAUUCAUUGGGUUUAAAGGGAGCGUAGGUGGACUUGUAAGUCAGUGGUGAAAUCUCUCAGCUUAACUGAGAAACUGCCAUUGAUACUGCAGGUCUUGAGUACAGAUGAUGUGGGCGGAAUAUGACAUGUAGUGGUGAAAUACUUAGAUAUGUCAUAGAACACCGAUUGCGAAGGCAGCUCACAAAACUGUAACUGACACUGAGGCUCGAAAGUGCGGGGAUCAAACAGGAUUAGAUACCCUGGUAGUCCGCACCGUAAACGAUGAUAACUCGUUGUUAGCGAUAUGACAGUUAGCGACCAAGCGAAAGCGAUAAGUUAUCCACCUGGGGAGUACGCCGGCAACGGUGAAACUCAAAGGAAUUGACGGAGU
RNAcentral lists this ribosomal RNA (554 nucleotides) under uncultured bacterium. RNAcentral's name for it is "bacterial SSU rRNA". It matches the Rfam family "Bacterial small subunit ribosomal RNA", at positions 358 to 919 of the family's 1533-position model. The record is from RNAcentral.